GCCUGGGUGGCUCAGUCAGUUAAGCAUCUGACUUCGGCUCAGGUCAUGAUCUCACAGUUCGUGGGUUCGAGCCCCACAUCAGGCU
Molecule: transfer RNA, 85 nt
Filed under: Felis catus (domestic cat)
Lineage: Eukaryota; Metazoa; Chordata; Mammalia; Carnivora; Felidae
Rfam family: tRNA
About the family: Transfer RNA (tRNA) molecules are approximately 80 nucleotides in length. Their secondary structure includes four short double-helical elements and three loops (D, anti-codon, and T loops). Further hydrogen bonds mediate the characteristic L-shaped molecular structure. tRNAs have two regions of fundamental functional importance: the anti-codon, which is responsible for specific mRNA codon recognition, and the 3' end, to which the tRNAs corresponding amino acid is attached (by aminoacyl-tRNA synthetases). tRNAs cope with the degeneracy of the genetic code in two manners: having more than one tRNA (with a specific anti-codon) for a particular amino acid; and 'wobble' base-pairing, i.e. permitting non-standard base-pairing at the 3rd anti-codon position.
Source: Rfam by way of RNAcentral